UGGGGUCCUUCAGCAGUAGUGCAAUGAGGAGCAUGCACACGAGAGAUUCUAUUUUCCUUGGAUGGCUUUCUUGAGCCUUGGAAAUCUGGCUUACCAGGAAUUCUAGGCUUCUGUUGUCCCUUGCUUCCUAUCUACCAAAAGCACAGUGAUGCCUUUCUUUUUACUCACAUUUGAUGACAUCCAUAGUGAGAAACAGCAGUUCCACUGUCCAACACCAGGAAAUGCUCUGACUGCUUUACCACUCCAGCUAAUACUUACAGAGGUGUAGCCUAUUCCCACUUGUACUGGGGCUUUAGAAUCCAACUCCUUACAUUCCUAAGAUUAAAAGACAUCUUGUGCUAUUUUAUGUUCUGAGAAGGAUUGAUUACCACAAAGAUAGAUCUAUAGAGAAUGUGAGUGGAAACUACACGAGCUGCUAAUGGGACAAGGCAUUUAAGAAUCAUCCAAGUUCUUUCUCUUCUUGCUGGCUGGAGCUAAGAAUUGAAGAACAAAUACCAUCAAAGAGAUUCAAUACAAAUGUCCAAUUUUGAGAUAAGGGAUGGAUAACCAUAGUGCAUGCCCUCAGACCUUUUAAUCUUUAUGAAACAUUUGAAGACCUCGGGAAAGGACAAUACCCCUGGUUCUAUACAGAUGCUGUCAUGAAUUCAUCUUAUAUCAGUUUCAUAAACCCGAGAAAACAAACUGGAGAGAAGGCAACACAUAUUUCAUUUUAGCUGUGAGCAACUUCCAUUGUGAAUCAAGAAUUCAUUCAAAAUACAUCUGGUAGGAAGUUUUGCUUUUAACAGAAUGGCAACAUCUAACCUCAUCACACAGAAUCCAUGUAGUCAAAUACCAUUGAGGAUAGUUGAGUGGUCACUAUGUUGUAAUAUCAGACAAAGAUGACAGUGAAUCUGCAAAAGAAGAAAGCAUUCUGAGAACCACUGAUUCCAGAGCAGGUGAAGAUGGAGUUUCGCUCUUUUUGCCCAGGCUGGAGUACAAUGGGGUGAUCUCAGCUCACUUUGGCCUGCACUCCAGUUUCAAGCUAUUCUCCUGCCUCAGCCUCUGAGUAGCUGGAAUUACAGGUGCGCCACGAUGCCCGGGUAAUCUUUUGUAGUUUUAGUAGAGACGGGGUUUCGCCACGUUGGCCAGAGUGGUCUCGAACUCCUGACCUCAGGUGAUACGCCCACCUCUGCCUCCCAAAGUGCUGGGAUUACAGGUGUGAGCCACCGAGUCUGGCCGUUUUUAGAUUCUUUAAGGUCGCCACGAACAUUGAAUCAGCAAAUACUGUACUACUGUUCCUAAGGGAAAUGCAGGGUUAGGAUCUUUAGAGUCUCUAGUCAUAUAUUGGUGAAGUGAAACACCAUUUGUCGUGUAUACAUUCCUUUGCCUAGCGUCCAUGUAAAACAAACCACUGUCAUCAGCAUUGAAAAUCUGCUCUUUUAUAAAACCCUUUCUUUGUAUACAUCUCACAGGUAUUUAAAAAAUUCUUCCACAUCCUCUUGAUCUGCAGAACCUCCCUCACCUGCAAGUUAACAUUUUUCAUGCGAUAUCACCUUUUGAAACAUGGAAGGCAGCCAGUACUAGCCAGAGUGUUUAACAUGACAAUAAAUUUCUUUGCCUUUCAGCCUCCAGACAAUUCUGUCCACUAUACUUUUUUGAAAUCAGUUGUUGUCUCAUGAAUCCACAAACGUAGCUGCUUUUCCAUCUUUCAUGUACCGUGGUGUUACUUUGACACAUUCUGGAGCAGCCUUAUAUGCAGAUCCAUGAAUUUCCUUUUCCUUUUCUGAAUGUAAGGCAUUGUUGAUUCAUUAACAUUGAACUCGUGGCCAACAGCACUGUAAUUCAUGCCUGAGCAAUGCUUAUCUAACACAAGUAUUUUCUCCAUAAGGCACAUCACAUCUUUCUUGAACUUGGAAACACCAGACACCACAUUAGCUUUACUUGAAGGGUCAUUUAAAGUGGCAAAGUUGCAAAGAAAAAGCACAAAAAAUGCAAAUAUGUGAUAGCAAAUAGAUUGUGAAAAGUUUGCUUUUCACAAUCUUACACUUCAAAAGUUGAAGAAGAAGACGGAGCACUGUCUCAUUAGACUUGAACUGGGAAUAUGUGAGUUGGGUGAUUUAAUUUUUUUGUCAGUUCUGCAGAUGUAUGGAAAUGACUGCAAAAGCAUCAAGAAUGUCACUUUUAGAGGUUCAAAUACAUUUUAGCGAGUAGGCAAAUUUGCAUAUACAGAAUCUGCAAAUUAUAAGGAUCAACUUUAUUUUGCUGUUCUUUUACAAUUUGGGGAUAUUUUAUAAAAUUUUAUAAAGU
Molecule: long non-coding RNA, 2286 nt
Filed under: Pongo abelii (Sumatran orangutan)
Lineage: Eukaryota; Metazoa; Chordata; Mammalia; Primates; Hominidae
Description: lincRNA
Source: RNAcentral